Molecule: ribosomal RNA, 467 nt
Filed under: uncultured bacterium
Lineage: Bacteria
Description: partial 16S ribosomal RNA
Rfam family: Bacterial small subunit ribosomal RNA
Source: RNAcentral
GAUGAACGCUGGCGGCGUGCUUAACACAUGCAAGUCGAACGGAAAGGCCCAAGCUUGCUUGGGUACUCGAGUGGCGAACGGGUGAGUAACACGUGGGUGAUCUGCCCUGCACUUCGGGAUAAGCCUGGGAAACUGGGUCUAAUACCGGAUAGGACCACAUUUUGGAUGGUGUGGUGGAAAGUUUUUCGGUGUGGGAUGAGCUCGCGGCCUAUCAGCUUGUUGGUGGGGUAAUGGCCUACCAAGGCGUCGACGGGUAGCCGGCCUGAGAGGGUGUACGGCCACAGUGGGGGAGGGAGCGGACCCAGAGCCCACGGGGGGAGGGAGGGGGGGAAAAUGGACAAAGGGGGGAGGGCGUGUGGCGGGGCGGCGGGGGGGGGGGGAGGGCCUUUCGGGUUGUAAACCCUUUUCGCGGGGGAGAAGGCGUUUUUGGGAGGGUACUGGGAAAAGAAGCACCGGCUAACUACGUG